AUCGAUCGAUCCGAAAGUGAUCGAGCUUUGCCGAACGAGCGUACUGGAACAGGUCGAUCAAAAGUUGCUGCGCGUUUUUUGUUUGUUCUGCAUAAUGCUCAGGGUGCGGGAUCGAUCGAUCCGACAGACAGAUCGAUCGAUCUGAAAGUGAUCGAGCUUUGCCGAACGAGCGUAAUGGAACAGAUCGAUCGAUCUACUUAGAUUUACCGGGUUCGCAAUUGUUAAUGUUGUCUUUCAUUUUGUAAGAUCAAGUACUGUAUAUAG
Long non-coding RNA from Brassica rapa (field mustard), 264 nucleotides. RefSeq lists it as uncharacterized. The record is from RefSeq and is a predicted model, not a curated record. Lineage: Eukaryota; Viridiplantae; Streptophyta; Magnoliopsida; Brassicales; Brassicaceae.